GGCUGCAGUCAUGCCUGGAUGGGGAGGAUGCAGGGCCUCAGCGGCAGCUGCUGCAAAAAAAGCCAGGGGCCAGUGCUGCCAUUUUACCGCCCAGACACAGAAAGGCAUGUUCAACCUCCCUUCCAUGCGCCGGGGUAGGGGUAGAGGGGUGCUGGCAGCAAGCUUCCCAAGUGGCGUGGCUGGGCCCAGAGGAACCGGGCUGGAAGCACUGUUACCGUAGGCACUAUGCGUUGUCUGCAGGGGCCUGAAAAAGCCUAGAGGCGGAAGAAAAGCCCAGGUGGCAGGCCACGCCGCCUGGGCAGCCCACAGACAGGCCCGGCUGCGCCUCACCUGCUUUUGUGUAGGUCCAUGUGGACGCCGGAGCCAGCCGGAACCCUGCUGCGGCUGCCCUCCUGCAGCUCGCUCGGCCCCUCAUCCCGGUGAGCACCGCGGCGCAGCCCCCCUGCCCCUAGUCCGGCGAGCCCCGCUACCAUCUGGGCGUCAGCCUUUCAAGAAGCCAAGAGCGGAUGUGUUUGCCUGUGAAGGAAGCCUAGUAAGCAAGAUUUAGAACUCUCCAGUGUUGUGUCCAGAGGAAGAAAUGAUUAAAGGGAAGGGCAAGCACAGUGACAGGUCCCAUUGCUGUCUGUAUCGAGAACUCCAAGAUGAAAUGCAGAUUCCCCAGGAAGUGGGCAAGGUGAUCUCCUGAGGCACAGAAAGAACUUCUAGAGAUUCUACUUAUAUCCACAUUUUAUCUGAUGCUUUUUAAUUUCUAUUUUUGUGCAUGUUUUAUAAUGUACAAAACAUUAGUUUGGUAAAAACAUGUAAACAUUUUAUAAAUAAAAGUAAAUACCUAUACCCUGA
Felis catus (domestic cat) is the source of this 840-nucleotide long non-coding RNA. RefSeq lists it as uncharacterized. The record is from RefSeq and is a predicted model, not a curated record. Lineage: Eukaryota; Metazoa; Chordata; Mammalia; Carnivora; Felidae. The transcript has 4 exons.